CACGUAGGGCGCAAGCGUUGUCCGGAAUUAUUGGGCGUAAAGAGCUCGUAGGCGGUCUGUUGCGUCCGCUGUGAAAACUCGGGGCUUAACCCCGAGCCUGCAGUGGAUACGGGCAGACUAGAGGUAGGUAGGGGAGAAUGGAAUUCCUGGUGUAGCGGUGGAAUGCGCAGAUAUCAGGAAGAACACCCGUGGCGAAGGCGGCUCUCUGGAACGCAACUGACGCUGAGACGCGAAAGCGUGGGGAGCGAACAGG
Molecule: ribosomal RNA, 253 nt
Filed under: uncultured bacterium
Lineage: Bacteria
Description: partial 16S ribosomal RNA
Rfam family: Bacterial small subunit ribosomal RNA
Source: RNAcentral